Molecule: ribosomal RNA, 427 nt
Filed under: uncultured bacterium
Lineage: Bacteria
Description: partial 16S ribosomal RNA
Rfam family: Bacterial small subunit ribosomal RNA
Source: RNAcentral
UGGGGAAUAUUGCACAAUGGGCGCAAGCCUGAUGCAGCCAUGCCGCGUGUAUGAAGAAGGCCUUCGGGUUGUAAAGUACUUUCAGCGAGGAGGAAGGCGUUGUGGUUAAUAACCGCAACGAUUGACGUUACUCGCAGAAGAAGCACCGGCUAACUCCGUGCCAGCAGCCGCGGUAAUACGGAGGGUGCAAGCGUUAAUCGGAAUUACUGGGCGUAAAGCGCACGUAGGCGGUCUGUCAAGUCGGAUGUGAAAUCCCCGGGCUCAACCUGGGAACUGCAUCCGAAACUGGCAGGCUAGAGUCUUGUAGAGGGGGGUAGAAUUCCAGGUGUAGCGGUGAAAUGCGUAGAGAUCUGGAGGAAUACCGGUGGCGAAGGCGGCCCCCUGGACAAAGACUGACGCUCAGGUGCGAAAGCGUGGGGAGCAAACA